Dinoponera quadriceps is the source of this 1298-nucleotide long non-coding RNA. RefSeq lists it as uncharacterized. The transcript has 3 exons. The record is from RefSeq and is a predicted model, not a curated record. Lineage: Eukaryota; Metazoa; Arthropoda; Insecta; Hymenoptera; Formicidae.
GAAAGAACAAUCGGGACGACAGGUGUGUGAGAGCAGGUUUGCGCAACGGCGAGCACGACUUUCGCUCAAAUGUUUGCGGGAAUAUUCGACAGAAUUGGAUAUCUCGUGUAUACAGCGGCCUUUAUCCUCAGUAGAAUAGAAAAUGACAUUGGAGUGACGUCAGAGUGACGAGAGGAUGACGGAAAGAUGAAUUUUUAUAACUAUUUUUCCCUCAUCCCGGCGCUAUUUUCGACGUUAUCGCGAUUUUCCGUUCUACUUGGGAAUGCAUUUAAUGCGGAUAGAACAGACCCAAACUAAACGGAGAGGGAGAGAGGGGGUUACAUCAAUUCUUCAAGCGUCAGAUUUUCUUGAAGGAUCGCCUACGUUAGACUCGAACAAGCGAGCGUGGCGCUUAAAGAGUCAAAGACCGAUAAUCGAGACCGGUAUAACUGGCGACUCUCGAUUUUCGAAGCCGGCUAGCCGCGCGCGCGCGUGAAAGAUUCCUCCUCACGUCGCGGACGACGCGUCGCGUAUUUCUAUUCGUGAGAUUGUAAUUGCCUGUGUGUGUGUGUGUAUAUUUAGUGCCCGAAUAUACAGUUCAGAUCUUUAGUUAGUGGUGAUCGAAGUGCAGUGUCGUGGGAAGGCAAUUCGCGGCGGGGAUGAGGUGGGCGUAGAGUCGGCGGCGUCGCCAAGUCUGACAGGGAAUUCGAUCACCCGCUUCUACACCCGCGGUUCUCAGGUAGAAGAGGAAAUGACGUUUGGUGUCCGUUCCACCUGGAUUAAGCGCAUCCCCAGGUAGAACGGAAAAUCACGAUGACGUCGAAAUGGUGCCGGGAGAAUGGCUAUAAAAACUCACCUUUCCAUCAUCCUCUCCCCGCUCUGGCGUCAUUCCAAUAUCAUUUUCUACUCUACCCGGGAUAAAGGUCGCUGUACACAUAAGCUCCCAGAGUGCAGCGAGAUGCAGCCGGUACAGCAGCAGGCGAUCGGAUACGCUACGAACGCCCGGCCACACAACCUGCACGUCGCGUACAACGCGCAACACGCUCGAGGGAAAAUCGACCGGUCUAAUCGUGCGUAUAAUUAUAAAAAGCACGCCUUUUUACCGCACGGUCUUCUUCCCUCGUGCGUGUCGGCCGCGCGAAUUCGGCGAGAUUGUCUGGACGAGUCUUGGAGCGAGGGAACUGGCACGACUGGCCGCUCGACGAGACCGCUCGACGGCUCACCGACGACUCGGUGACGUUUCGGCCGAAAUUGACGUACGAGCGCGACGCCGCGCACAAGCCGAGAGACCCCCCUCCCCCGCCGUCGUUGGUCGUAAU